This 388-nucleotide ribosomal RNA is filed under the name uncultured bacterium. RNAcentral describes it as "bacterial SSU rRNA". It matches the Rfam family "Bacterial small subunit ribosomal RNA", at positions 30 to 419 of the family's 1533-position model. The record is from RNAcentral.
AUUGAACGCUGGCGGCAUGCCUUACACAUGCAAGUCGAACGGCAGCACGGGAGCAAUCCUGGUGGCGAGUGGCGAACGGGUGAGUAAUAUAUCGGAACGUGCCCGGUCGUGGGGAUAACGUAGCGAAAGCUACGCUAAUACCGCAUACGAUCUACGGAUGAAAGCGGGGGAUCGCACGACCUCGCGCGAUUGGGGCGGCCGAUAUCAGAUUAGGUAGUUGGUGAGGUAAAGGCUCACCAAGCCGACGGUCUGUAGCUGGUCUGAGAGGACGACCAGCCACACUGGGACUGAGACACGGCCCAGACUCCUACGGGAGGCAGCAGUGGGGAAUUUUGGACAAUGGGCGCAAGCCUGAUCCAGCAAUGCCGCGUGCAGGAUGAAGGCCUUC